RNAcentral lists this transfer RNA (73 nucleotides) under Hydnora africana. RNAcentral's name for it is "tRNA-fMet". It matches the Rfam family "tRNA". From Rfam's summary of the family: Transfer RNA (tRNA) molecules are approximately 80 nucleotides in length. Their secondary structure includes four short double-helical elements and three loops (D, anti-codon, and T loops). RNAcentral also lists the same sequence under 1 other name. The record is from RNAcentral. Lineage: Eukaryota; Viridiplantae; Streptophyta; Magnoliopsida; Piperales; Hydnoraceae.
CGCGAAGUGGAGUAAUCAGGUAGCUCGCAAGGCUCAUAAUCUUGAGGUAUGGGUUCAAAUCCCAUCUUCGCUA